UACGUAGGGUGCAAGCGUUGUCCGGAAUUAUUGGGCGUAAAGAGCUCGUAGGCGGUUUGUCGCGUCGAAUGUGAAAACCCGGGGCUCAACCCCGGGCCUGCAUUCGAUACGGGCAGACUAGAGUUCGGUAGGGGAGUCUGGAAUUCCUGGUGUAGGGGUGAAAUGCGCAGAUAUCAGGAGGAACACCGGUGGCGAAGGCGGGACUCUGGGCCGAUACUGACGCUGAGGCACGAAAGCGUGGGGAGCAAACAGG
This 253-nucleotide ribosomal RNA is filed under the name uncultured bacterium. RNAcentral's name for it is "partial 16S ribosomal RNA". It matches the Rfam family "Bacterial small subunit ribosomal RNA", at positions 524 to 776 of the family's 1533-position model. The record is from RNAcentral.